GACGAACGCUGGCGGCGUGCUUAACACAUGCAAGUCGAACGGAAAGGCCCUGCUUGCCGGGUGCUCGAGUGGCGAACGGGUGAGUAACACGUGGGUGAUCUGCCCCUUACUUUGGGAUAAGCCUGGGAAACUGGGUCUAAUACUGGAUAGGACCAUGCUGUAGGUGGUGUGGUGGAAAGAUUAGUUUCGGUAAGGGAUGAGCUCGCGGCCUAUCAGCUUGUUGGUGGGGUAAUGGCCUACCAAGGCGUCGACGGGUAGCCGGCCUGAGAGGGUGGACGGCCACAUUGGGACUGAGAUACGGCCCAGACUCCUACGGGAGGCAGCAGUGGGGAAUAUUGCACAAUGGGCGCAAGCCUGAUGCAGCGACGCCGCGUGGGGGAUGACGGCCUUCGGGUUGUAAACUCCUUUCAGCCAUGACGAAGCCCUUGCGGUGACGGUAGUGGUAGAAGAAGCACCGGCUAACUACGUG
RNAcentral lists this ribosomal RNA (469 nucleotides) under uncultured bacterium. RNAcentral's name for it is "partial 16S ribosomal RNA". It matches the Rfam family "Bacterial small subunit ribosomal RNA", at positions 28 to 507 of the family's 1533-position model. The record is from RNAcentral.